GAGAUUCCAUCAAUGGGAGUAGUCUGUUGCUGAGAGGGAUCCUGAAAGAUAGGGGGACAGAGACACACUGGAAGGAUCCACAUAAUGAGGAAGCAGCUGAGAACAAAGGAGCCCCUGCCAGAGGAAUAUCCUUGGGGGGUAAAAAGCUGACUCUGCCCUUUCUCCCCAGCCCAUUCAUCCCAGCCCAGACAAUUCAAAUCUACCUUCUAUCAGGACCUAGAAAGGAUGUAAAAUGGCCGGGUAUAAAUAUCCCCUGGGUCUGGGGAAACUGUCAGGAGCAGUGACAUCACAGGAAAAACCACCGACCAAGGCCAAGGAGACCAGAGCCCAGCACCUCACCCAGAGGACCCCAGUCAGAGGCCCCAUCUCAGACCCGAGGCUAGCAUGGGCUGCAGGCUGCUCUGCUGUGCGGUUCUCUGUCUCCUGGGAGCGGUCCCCAUGGAAAUGGGAGUUACGCAGACACCAAGACACCUGGUCAUGGGAAUGACAAAUAAGAAGUCUUUGAAAUGUGAACAACAUCUGGGUCAUAACGCUAUGUAUUGGUACAAGCAAAGUGCUAAGAAGCCACUGGAGCUCAUGUUUGUCUACAGUCUUGAAGAACGGGUUGAAAACAACAGUGUGCCAAGUCGCUUCUCACCUGAAUGCCCCAACAGCUCUCACUUAUUCCUUCACCUACACACCCUGCAGCCAGAAGACUCGGCCCUGUAUCUCUGUGCCAGCAGCCAAGACACAGCCUUGCAGAGUCACAGCUUUCCUGUGCAGAAACCUUAGGGGCCCUCCAGGAAGCUGUGG
This is a non-coding RNA of Pan troglodytes (chimpanzee), 792 nucleotides long. The record is from the annotation of a RefSeq genome assembly. Lineage: Eukaryota; Metazoa; Chordata; Mammalia; Primates; Hominidae.